RNAcentral lists this long non-coding RNA (1320 nucleotides) under Anas zonorhyncha (Eastern spot-billed duck). RNAcentral's name for it is "lncRNA (ENSAZOG00000015142.1)". Lineage: Eukaryota; Metazoa; Chordata; Aves; Anseriformes; Anatidae. The record is from RNAcentral.
AUGUCGGCGCGCAGGCGGGCGGCUUCGCGCACGGCCUCAUCCUGCGCCCGCCGGCAGCCCCCAGCCUCGGCGCUGAGCUGCUCCAGCCGCUGCUCCAGGGCCACCCGUCGGCUCUCGCUGUCCCCCAGCUCCCUCCGCAGGCUCCCCGACACCUCCCGGGCCUCCUGGGGGAGCAACGGGGUCAGCGGUUGUCCUCCGUCCUCCCAGCCUUCUGUCCCUUCUCCUCCAUCCUUCCUCUGUGCAUCCAUCCGCCCGCCCUCCCAUCCGCCUGACCCCGUGUCCAUCCGUCUAUCCGUCCUCCCAUCUGUCUGUCCAUCCAGCCAUUCUCCUCCAUCCAUCCUCCAGGCAUCCAUCCACCUGCCCUCCAAUCCAGCCAGCCCCUGUCCGUCCAUCCGUCCGUCCGUCCAUCCAUCCACCCACCCACCCAUCUGUCUCCAUGUCCCUCCCCAAUUCUCCUCCUUUCAUCCUCCGUGCAUCCAUCCACCCAUCCGUCUUCCCCCACACCCAUCUUCCUCCUCCUCCUCCUCCUCCUCGCUCACCUGCAGCUGGAAGUGCCGGCGCCGCAGGGCUCCGUGCACAGCCCCCAGCGUGGCCGCAGCUGCAGCGGGCGAGAGGCUGCGGCAGGGGAGCCUCGGAGGCUCCGUCGGGGACCCAGGGUCAUCCGCCAGCACUGCCUGCGAGGGAUGGAGACAGCCGGGGGUGGGGGCAGCACCCACGGGAGGGGUGAGGCACUAUUCUGCAGCCCCAUGGGGGGGUCACGGCACCGGGGGGUCCCCACCUGUGCUCCAGCUGCUGGCGCGCAGCCUCGGCGGCACGGGCGGCCUCGUCCCGCUGCUCCUCCAGCCCCCGGCCGCGGCGCUGCAGCUCGGCCUCGCUGCGCUGCAGGACCCCCGCCCGCGCCUGCUCCGCCGCCAGCGCCUGCUCCACGCGGCUCCGCUCGCUGCCGGACAGACGGACACGCCGUGGGGACAGGCAGGUGGAGGGUGUGCAGGGACAGAGGCCACGGAUGGACAGAUGGACAGGCAGGGGGUACCUGCGCAGGAGCUCGAUGUCGGCGCGCAGGCGGGCGGCUUCGCGCACGGCCUCAUCCUGCGCCCGCCGGCAGCCCCCAGCCUCGGCGCUGAGCUGCUCCAGCCGCUGCUCCAGGGCCGCCCGCCGGCUCUCGCUGUCCCCCAGCUCCCGCCGCAGGCUCCCCGACACCUCCCGGGCCUCCUGGGGGAGCAACGGGGUCAGCGGUUGUCCUCCGUCCUCUCACCCUUCUGUCCCUUCUCCUCCAUCCUUCCUCUGUGCAUCCAGCCACCCGCCCUCCCAUACGCCUGA